Molecule: ribosomal RNA, 222 nt
Filed under: uncultured bacterium
Lineage: Bacteria
Description: partial 16S ribosomal RNA
Rfam family: Bacterial small subunit ribosomal RNA
Source: RNAcentral
AGUAAUGCUUGGGAAUCUGGCUUAUGGAGGGGGAUAACGACGGGAAACUGUCGCUAAUACCGCGUAUUAUCGGAAGAUGAAAGUGCGGGACUGAGAGGCCGCAUGCCAUAGGAUGAGUCCAAGUGGGAUUAGGUAGUUGGUGGGGUAAAGGCCUACCAAGCCUGCGAUCUCUAGCUGGUCUGAGAGGAUGACCAGCCACACUGGAACUGAGACACGGUCCAG